This 371-nucleotide long non-coding RNA is filed under the name Pan troglodytes (chimpanzee). RNAcentral's name for it is "long non-coding RNA NONPTRT014045". Lineage: Eukaryota; Metazoa; Chordata; Mammalia; Primates; Hominidae. The record is from RNAcentral.
UUGGGAGUGUUAUCAAAGACAAACUGUAUUUCCUUAGUUUUGUUUAGGACCAGCCCAGAAUGCAAUCUUUCCUGUGUGGAAUGGAUGAGAUGAGAGAUGGAUGGGCCCAGCCUUAGAAGCAAGAUCUAGACCUAUAAGUAUAGUCAACAGAAUGGAGAGGGAAGAACCCAGACUUCAGGAACCCAAUGUAGAGUCCUGCAUGACCCCUUGUUCACUAUCAAACUGACUUCCACAUACAGGAGCACCAAAGGCACAGGAAUGGAUGCCAAUAGACUCAUUAGCACCUCCUCAAUAUCACCUCAGUCCACUUAACUGAGAAACAGCUGUUGAAGAUGGCAAGAGCCAAAAUAAAACCCAGUUCUCAACCAAAU